Molecule: transfer RNA, 75 nt
Filed under: Anaerolinea sp.
Lineage: Bacteria; Bacillati; Chloroflexota; Anaerolineae; Anaerolineales; Anaerolineaceae
Description: tRNA-Pro
Rfam family: tRNA
About the family: Transfer RNA (tRNA) molecules are approximately 80 nucleotides in length. Their secondary structure includes four short double-helical elements and three loops (D, anti-codon, and T loops). Further hydrogen bonds mediate the characteristic L-shaped molecular structure. tRNAs have two regions of fundamental functional importance: the anti-codon, which is responsible for specific mRNA codon recognition, and the 3' end, to which the tRNAs corresponding amino acid is attached (by aminoacyl-tRNA synthetases). tRNAs cope with the degeneracy of the genetic code in two manners: having more than one tRNA (with a specific anti-codon) for a particular amino acid; and 'wobble' base-pairing, i.e. permitting non-standard base-pairing at the 3rd anti-codon position.
Source: RNAcentral
CGGGGCGUAGCGAAGCCUGGUAUCGCGCCAAGUUUGGGACUUGGAGACUCGUCGGUUCAAAUCCGGCCGCCCCGA